UACGAAGGGGGCUAGCGUUGCUCGGAAUCACUGGGCUUAAAGGGCGCGUAGGCGGGCCCUCAAGUCCGGGGUGAAAGCCUCCCGCUUAACGGGAGAAGAGCCUCGGAGACUGAGGGCCUCGAGGGAGGUAGGGGCGUGCGGAACUAUGGGUGGAGCGGUGAAAUGCAUUGAUAUCCAUAGGAACUCCGGUGGCGAAGGCGGCACGCUGGACCUCUUCUGACGCUGAGGCGCGAAAGCCAGGGGAGCAAACGGG
RNAcentral lists this ribosomal RNA (253 nucleotides) under uncultured bacterium. RNAcentral describes it as "partial 16S ribosomal RNA". It matches the Rfam family "Bacterial small subunit ribosomal RNA", at positions 524 to 776 of the family's 1533-position model. The record is from RNAcentral.